CAGAAGAAGAGAUUUUACCUUAAGAUAAAAUGAGCAAAUCAGCAUUUAUUUCAACUGACCUGUGCCGAGUUACCAGAGGCCUAAAUAUAUAUCUAGCAGUCCAGUGUUCAGAAAAAUGUUUCUCUUCAGAAAAGUGAAGAAUAGACUCAGUAAUUUCCACAGCACAUCUGAAGCCUCACCAAACCCAUGUUCUACACAAUAAUUUUUUCCUUUAACCUUUUUUUCUCUUCCUAGAUAAACCAAAAUGUAGUAAAUUACUGUCCAAAGGACCAAGAAAAUCAGCUGGGUAACAGAAAUGGCUAAACAUUAAAGAUUUCCCUGCUGAACAAAGAACAGCACUCGGAGAUGAAAAAUAAUAAACAUCUUUCAGAGAAAGGAAGAGAGGGAAACUUACUGCUGUCAAGAAAACCAAAUGGAAAAACCCUUCCUAGCAUACGUGUCCCAUUGAGAAGCAUGGAGUUUAGCCCAGACAGCUCACAACAACCUCCACAGAGGCCAAGUGUAAAAGAAGAAACUUCCAAAGCAUCUGUUUGUACCAUGAUGGGCAGCAUUUUCACCGCAGCUCUCCAGGUUGACAAGACUGCACAGAAAAACAUCACAUGCUCUAGACCAGAGCCAUGUAAUUCAGCCUUGUAAAGGCUGAACUAGGCUCAAUCACAAGCACUGAACUAGGUGCCAUGAAACAAAUGUCUUCGGCUCGCAAUUACCUUUCCUGCUUGCAUCCAGCCAGCCUC
This 734-nucleotide long non-coding RNA is filed under the name Apteryx owenii (little spotted kiwi). RNAcentral's name for it is "lncRNA (ENSAOWG00000007554.1)". Lineage: Eukaryota; Metazoa; Chordata; Aves; Apterygiformes; Apterygidae. The record is from RNAcentral.